This 446-nucleotide ribosomal RNA is filed under the name uncultured bacterium. RNAcentral's name for it is "bacterial SSU rRNA". It matches the Rfam family "Bacterial small subunit ribosomal RNA", at positions 329 to 792 of the family's 1533-position model. The record is from RNAcentral.
CCCCAGACUCCUACGGGAGGCAGCAGUGGGGAAUAUUGCACAAUGGGGGAAACCCUGAUGCAGCGACGCCGCGUGAGCGAUGAAGUAUUUCGGUAUGUAAAGCUCUAUCAGCAGGGAAGAAAAUGACGGUACCUGACUAAGAAGCCCCGGCUAACUACGUGCCAGCAGCCGCGGUAAUACGUAGGGGGCAAGCGUUAUCCGGAUUUACUGGGUGUAAAGGGAGCGUAGACGGCAAUGCAAGCCAGAUGUGAAAGCCCGGGGCUCAACCCCGGGACUGCAUUUGGAACUGUGUAGCUGGAGUGUCGGAGAGGCAGGCGGAAUUCCUAGUGUAGCGGUGAAAUGCGUAGAUAUUAGGAGGAACACCAGUGGCGAAGGCGGCCUGCUGGACGAUGACUGACGUUGAGGCUCGAAAGCGUGGGGAGCAAACAGGAUUAGAUACCCCAGUA